RNAcentral lists this ribosomal RNA (613 nucleotides) under uncultured bacterium. Its description in RNAcentral is "bacterial SSU rRNA". It matches the Rfam family "Bacterial small subunit ribosomal RNA", at positions 31 to 643 of the family's 1533-position model. The record is from RNAcentral.
GAACGCUGGCGGCAGCCUAACAAUGCAAGUCGAACGGUAACAUUUCUAGCUUGCUAGAAGAUGACGAGUGGCGGACGGGUGAGUAAUGCUUGGGAACUUGCCUUUGCGAGGGGGAUAACAGUUGGAAACGACUGCUAAUACCGCAUAAUGUCUACGGACCAAACGGGGCUUAGGCUCCGGCGCAAAGAGAGGCCCAAGUGAGAUUAGCUAGUUGGUAAGGUAAAGGCUUACCAAGGCAACGAUCUCUAGCUGUUCUGAGAGGAAGAUCAGCCACACUGGGACUGAGACACGGCCCAGACUCCUACGGGAGGCAGCAGUGGGGAAUAUUGCACAAUGGGGGAAACCCUGAUGCAGCCAUGCCGCGUGUGUGAAGAAGGCCUUCGGGUUGUAAAGCACUUUCAGUUGUGAGGAAAAGUUAGUAGUUAAUACCUGCUAGCCAUGACGUUAACAACAGAAGAAGCACCGGCUAACUCCGUGCCAGCAGCCGCGGUAAUACGGAGGGUGCGAGCGUUAAUCGGAAUUACUGGGCGUAAAGCGCACGCAGGCGGUUUGUUAAGCUAGAUGUGAAAGCCCCGGGCUCAACCUGGGAUGGUCAUUUAGAACUGGCAGACUA